GGUUCACAAAAUAAUCAUGGAUACCUGCCCCUCACUCAUAGCUUUCAAUCUGGUUUUCCUUUCAACCCCCCACUCCAGUUUUCUUCCAUUUAACACUCCUUUUCCCUUGUUUAUCCUCAACAAUCAAUCCUAUUUUGCAAAUAAUUCCGAUGCUCAAGCUGUGAGUGUUGUUUCAGAACCAAAAUGGCACUGCAUGUGUGUGUGGGAGGUUAUCAGUAGGCUUGGGGGAACCCCGAGAUCUCCAUUACUGAAAAAAAAUCAAGGCAAGUUGGAGGGGGACAUCUUAAAACAACCCAAUGGUGCCAAGUGUCAGUUGAGAGGGAAACUGGGGUGGGAGAAUGAAGUAUCUGGAAUCCUAAACAAGGAGUUCUCCAUACCGCAACAUUUUGUUGCAGGUCCUACUUAUCCAUCCUACUUUGCAAACUCUUGGGAUUCUGAAUAAAGCAUGAACUUUGAACAUGUCAAUGCCAACAAAUAUCUUUUCUCAUAUAUUUUUGUUUUACUGCAGUGCUUCUCAUCCUUGGCUAAAGAACCGGGAGGGCUGAAAUUAUGUAGGCGAGCCUUCCCAAUCUGGUACCCUCCAGAUGUUUUGGACUUCAUCUCCCAUCAGCCCAGCAAGGCCAAUGGUUAGGAGUGCUGGGAGUUGUAGUCCAAAAUGUCUGGAGGACAUUAAAUUGGAGCAAGCUGGUGUACGUCUAUACCGUUAUUACUCUACCAUCAGUCUACAUGGCUUCUUACAGAGUAACAUUAGCAAAAGAGACGUCCCUGCCCCAAGGAGCCUACAUUCUAAAUCAGAGUUGGGGAACCGGUGACUUUCCAAAAUGUUAGUGGGCUCCAAGUCCCAUCAGACUCCGCCAGCACCACCAGUGUUCAGGGAUGAUGGGCAUAGUAUUCCAGCAAGAUCUGGUGGGUCGCAGGUUCUCCGAUCUGCUCUGAAAUGUCAUCAGAGACUGACAGCGCAAUCCGAAGCAUGUUUACUCAAUAGUAAGUCCCACUGAGCGAAAUGGGACUUCCUCUCUGGUAAGUGUUCUUGGGAUUACAGCCUGCAUCUGAUGUCAAAGGCAGAAUUCCUCUUCUCCUGUUUUCUCUGCUUUGUCCAGAUAGAACACCUGAUCUAUUUUACCUUUCCGGUGCUCCUCAGUGGAACAUCUUGUCCCUUCGAGGAGAUGUGACUUCACUGGAUCCUGGAUCUCUAACUUCCCAAGUUGCGUUGUCAUCUGGAAAGAUCUGUUAGGAUUGGAAGUGGGAGGCCCUGCACUAAAGUGGUUUUAUUCCUCCCUGUCAGGCAGGUUCCAGGCGACGUUGCCAGGGGCCUUCCCCGCUCCAUGGGAUUUGGCCUUGUGGGGCGGCAGCAAGGUUCCAUCUUGCUUCCCAUGAGGUUUGAUAUCUCUGUUGGAUGAAAUGGUGACAGGAUCUGGGGCUUGGUGUUGCCAGUCUGAGGAGAAUUCCAGAGCUAGGAAGAGCCACAACAGCUGUCCGUUGAUGCAGUCUGGCACUUUGAACUGUACGUGCAAAGAGUGCACUCACUUGAUCUUGGAGACCAAAGCAGGAUGUAAGGGCUGAAAAGUCACCACAGGAGCUGCUGAUGCGACCAGCUCAAGAACUGGCUUGACGGGUUGCAAGAAACGCAGGACCAAGAAAUGGGGGGAAAGUCCAAGACAAGGGCAGUCUUGGGAAGUCCAGCUGCGAGACGGGGCGAGUUCCACCCACAAUGAGAGCUGCCCUUGCCGCUCUGUUUCCCUUGCAGGGUCCACUCUCGUCAAGCACCAUCCCUCAGCGCAUGGGAUCACUUGCACAUUCACACCUUUGCCCUGUCACUCUCCUUCCCUGUUAUCCCAGUGUUCUCUUCCUUCUGGAGUUCUAAUAUGGAUCCAUCCGUGCCCACUAACCCCUGAGCCUCCCCACCUUGUUGCCCUGUUACAGAUUGGAGAGCUAAAAUGUGAAAUCUUACUUAAAAUAAAAGAGUUAC
Long non-coding RNA from Elgaria multicarinata webbii, 1969 nucleotides. RefSeq lists it as uncharacterized. The transcript is spliced from 4 exons. The record is from RefSeq and is a predicted model, not a curated record. Lineage: Eukaryota; Metazoa; Chordata; Lepidosauria; Squamata; Anguidae.